AUGGAAGAGAAAAGCUUAGUAAAAGGUGGUGAGAGGCGUCUGCCACGGUCACCGAGUGGCAUCAUUGGGGGUCUUUGUAGGUUAAAUUAUCCUGGACUGGUCACAUUGCCGAACGGUAUCAUUGAGCCAGCUUGGUCAUGGGAUCACUACAAACUUGCACCGGAUUUCCUGGAUAUGCGUCAGAGGGUUUAUGAUAAUAGAGCCAUGCGACUGGUCAACGAUUUCUGGGAUUUCUAUACAUGCGUUGAGGGUCAGAAGGAUCGUGCAAAUGUGGUGGUUGAGAAUAUUGCCAAGAAACUAGUCCACGACAUGCACUAUGAGGAGCGCGUCCGGUUAGUGGUCAAGUAUCACGCGGAUUAUCUCAACCAUAGGAUUUCCAAACAGGAGGCUUGA
RNAcentral lists this ribosomal RNA (393 nucleotides) under Triticum aestivum (bread wheat). RNAcentral describes it as "partial small subunit ribosomal RNA". Lineage: Eukaryota; Viridiplantae; Streptophyta; Magnoliopsida; Poales; Poaceae. The record is from RNAcentral.